RNAcentral lists this ribosomal RNA (549 nucleotides) under uncultured bacterium. RNAcentral describes it as "partial 16S ribosomal RNA". It matches the Rfam family "Bacterial small subunit ribosomal RNA", at positions 355 to 893 of the family's 1533-position model. The record is from RNAcentral.
UAGGGAAUCUUCCACAAUGGACGCAAGUCUGAUGGAGCAACGCCGCGUGAGUGAAGAAGGUUUUCGGACCGUAAAGCUCUGUUGUUGGUGAAGAAGGAUAGAGGUAGUAACUGGCCUUUAUUUGACGGUAAUCAACCAGAAAGUCACGGCUAACUACGUGCCAGCAGCCGCGGUAAUACGUAGGUGGCAAGCGUUGUCCGGAUUUAUUGGGCGUAAAGCGAGCGCAGGCGGAAGAAUAAGUCUGAUGUGAAAGCCCUCGGCUUAACCGAGGAAUUGCAUCGGAAACUGUUUUUCUUGAGUGCAGAAGAGGAGAGUAGAACUCCAUGUGUAGCGGUGGAAUGCGUAGAUAUAUGGAAGAAUACCAGUGGCGAAGGCGGCUCUCUGGUCUGCAACUGACGCUGAGGCUCGAAAGCAUGGGUAGCGAACAGGAUUAGAUACCCUGGUAGUCCAUGCCGUAAAACGAUGAGUGCUAAGUGUUGGGAGGCUUCCGCCUCUCAGUGCUGCAGCUAACGCAUUAAGCACUCCGCCUGGGGGAGUACGACCGCAAGG